AAUUCUUGUUAGCUGACCCAGCCAAUCAGCUCUGUUGGCCAACCAGCUCAUGUGAGUCUAUGUUCAGACAUUUCAAGAACAUCUGUGUUUUCUGUUUCUUGUAAAGUGCUGGCUGAACCUUUAUUUAACUUCUGCAGGUCUAACUGGUCUAACUCUCCCUCUGGUCUAACUCUCCCCCUGGUCUAACUCUCCCUCUGGUCUAACUCUCCCUCUGGUCUAACUCUCCCUCUGGUCUCUGGUCUAACUCUCCCUCUGGUCUAACUCUCCCUCUGGUCUAACUCUCCCUCUGGUCUAACUCUCCCUCUGGUCUAACCAACUGCUCUCCCUCUGGUCUAACUCUCCCUCUGGUCUAACUCUCCCUCUGGUCUAACCAACUGCUCUCCAAGGAUGGUCACCAGCCUAUAUCUCUCUUCUAUCCCUCAUUCCAACCCCCCCUUCCUCUCUUCCGCUCCAGGGUCAGAGAGACAUCAACCCAUCUCUCUUCCAUUCCUCUUUCUCUUCUCUUCCUCCUCCUCCAGGGUGAGUAUAAUUUUCUUUGGAGUCAGAGAACCUUCACCACGUAGAGCAGGUCUUGUUGGGGAACGCUCUACGCCAUCACUGUCUGCUUCACCUGUGACCCCACCCACGCCAUCGCAGACCCCGCCAUGCCCAUCACCUCUGUGUGACAGUGUCACCUGUAGACCUGGAGGACUCCUACAACAGAGGGAGAGGAGGUCGGGAAGGGAGAGAGUGCUGAUCACAUCACUGACGGUAGAGGCGAGGAGAAGGACAAAGGAGAAGACGUUAUGAAAAUGAUUAAAAUACACACGGGUCAGUUUUCCAUACUCCAGUUCCACCCUUCUCCAUCAUGGGCUACAAAACCAAAACUGUCUCUGGAUCAGUCUUUCCAUGCCCGUUUUAUCAGUGGCAAAGGAAACAAGGUUGUACUGCUACUCCAUCACAUUCCACUUACUAUACAGCAUGUUCUUCAGUCUAAAUAAAGUUAUAUCAAUGUUUUAUC
Oncorhynchus nerka (sockeye salmon) is the source of this 1000-nucleotide long non-coding RNA. RefSeq lists it as uncharacterized. The record is from RefSeq and is a predicted model, not a curated record. The transcript is spliced from 2 exons. NCBI's taxonomy places the organism in Eukaryota, Metazoa, Chordata, Actinopteri, Salmoniformes, Salmonidae.